Molecule: non-coding RNA, 961 nt
Organism: Malus domestica (apple)
Lineage: Eukaryota; Viridiplantae; Streptophyta; Magnoliopsida; Rosales; Rosaceae
Source: RefSeq, a predicted model, not a curated record
AGAACUUUUUUGUUUUCGGUCCCCUACCUGAGACCCUCUUUCUUUCUUCUUCUCUUUCUUUCUUUCUCUGCACACUCUCUUCUCUCUCGAAACCCUCUCAUCACUCUCACUCUCUCUCCCGUGAUUACCCUAGUACACGGCACCCAUACCAUCGUUCCGUAGACGGCAUCACCAUCAAAACCUCGUCUUUCUCUCUCUUCCUUUUGUCUCUGCAAGAUCGAUGAAACCCAGAAACCUCCGGCGAGUUUUCUUCAUUUUCUCCGGUUAGGUUUUGGAACGAGAUCAGGUCGGGGGAAAGCUCACCCAACUCCGGCGAACCCGUGACUGUUGAGAAACUUUCCGAACACCUUUGGCCAUUUCACGGCGAACCAAGCGUAUAAACUUACUCCUCUCUCUUUCCUCUUCACGUUGGUAAUUAGAUCGGAGUCUAAGGUUUGCAUUUGUAAUCGGCCAGAGCUGUAGAAGCUUCAGCGUUCUUCUCUGAUUUGCACAUAUCCAAAAUAUGGCGAUAUUAUCGGUAAUAUCGCGAUAUUAUCGAUAAUAUCACGAUAUUUUGAUGAAACCCAAUUGGAUACCUAUUAAAAUAUCGUUACCGCGAAAAACCGAUAAUAUCGGUGAUAUUUCGCCGAUAUUAUCGGCAUUUAAGACCUUGGGUUUAAUGUUCUUUUUUUAUUUAUUUGUUCUUUCUCUUAUAUUUUUUACAUCAGAAAAUAAAAGUGGGAAAGGGUCUCUUUCCAACACGCUACCAACUCCCCUUGUACAGGGCAGUAGUUGGCAGCCGUCCAACGUAGGUCAUGUGCGCGGUUGCGGCGGUGGGCCCUCCAACCUUUCACUCAGCUCUCUGGGCCCCGUACCUACUAUCCUCAACGCGACAAAGAGCUCACCUAAUUAAUUAAUUAAUUAUUUGUACCUGUCCUGCUACAAUAUGCCUGCUUUUAUAUUAUUUAUCUUUCUUUUUCAA